This 468-nucleotide ribosomal RNA is filed under the name uncultured bacterium. RNAcentral's name for it is "partial 16S ribosomal RNA". It matches the Rfam family "Bacterial small subunit ribosomal RNA", at positions 28 to 507 of the family's 1533-position model. The record is from RNAcentral.
GACGAACGCUGGCGGCGUGCUUAACACAUGCAAGUCGAACGGAAAGGCGCUGCUUUUGUGGGGUGCUCGAGUGGCGAAGGGGUGAGUAACACGUGAGUAACCUGCCCUUGACUUUGGGAUAACUUCACGAAACUGGGGCUAAUACCGGAUAGGAGCUCCUGCUGCAUGGUGGGGGUUGGAAAGUUUCGGCGGUUGGGGAUGGACUCGCGGCUUAUCAGCUUGUUGGUGGGGUAGUGGCUUACCAAGGCUGUGACGGGUAGCCGGCCUGAGAGGGUGACCGGCCUCAUGGGGACUACGAGAGGGAGCAGUGUGCAACGGUGGGCAGCGGGGGGAAGUAUGACACAGUGAGCGGGCGCCUGAUACGGAAGCGUUGGGUUCGGAAAGACCGCUUUCUGGGUAAGAACAGCUGUCGCCUGAGACGAAGCGGGAUUGACGGUAAUGAAUAAAGAAGCACCGGCUAACUACGUG